Molecule: transfer RNA, 74 nt
Filed under: Verrucomicrobiota bacterium
Lineage: Bacteria; Pseudomonadati; Verrucomicrobiota
Also listed under: 1 other name
Description: Verrucomicrobia bacterium (freshwater metagenome) tRNA-Arg
Rfam family: tRNA
About the family: Transfer RNA (tRNA) molecules are approximately 80 nucleotides in length.
Source: RNAcentral
GCACCCGUAGCUCAACUGGAUAGAGUGUCGGCCUCCGAAGCCGAAGGUUGACGGUUCGACCCCGUCCGGGUGCA